UACGGAGGGUGCAAGCGUUGCUCGGAAUCAUUGGGCGUAAAGCGCGUGUAGGCGGUCCGGUAAGUCUGCUGUGAAAGUCGGGGGCUCAACCCUCGAAUGCCGGUGGAUACUGUCGGGCUAGAGUGCGGAAGAGGCGAGUGGAAUUCCUGGUGUAGCGGUGAAAUGCGCAGAUAUCAGGAGGAACACCUAUUGCGAAGGCAGCUCGCUGGGACGUAACUGACGCUGAGACGCGAAAGCGUGGGGAGCAAACAGG
RNAcentral lists this ribosomal RNA (253 nucleotides) under uncultured bacterium. RNAcentral's name for it is "partial 16S ribosomal RNA". It matches the Rfam family "Bacterial small subunit ribosomal RNA", at positions 524 to 776 of the family's 1533-position model. The record is from RNAcentral.